This 54-nucleotide transfer RNA is filed under the name Sicarius terrosus. RNAcentral describes it as "tRNA-Leu". The record is from RNAcentral. Lineage: Eukaryota; Metazoa; Arthropoda; Arachnida; Araneae; Sicariidae.
CCAUUAACACAUUGGCAGACAAAUGCAAUAGAUUUAGAUUCUACUAACCCUAUA